GUGGUGCUUUGUAGCACAGCCCCAGUUUAACCAUGGCACCCCACAGCCUCCUGGAAGUUGCGGGGUUGGGGUACAAGGGACACCCCGCCAUGAAGGCUGGUGCUCAGCCAAGGCAACGUGGCCACGGCACCUGUCUUUAUGCAAGAGGAUUGAACGUGGAAACAUACUUCUUAGAAGAGAAAACUCUGAAGACUUUAAAAUGAAACUAUCCCUGAGUGGAGCUUCCUUUUUGAGGACGGUGAGCAGGAUCCACACUCGGCGCCCCCCAGGCCAACUGAAGGUGUCUCUGACCCCACCACGGGCUCCUAGGCUGCUGCAGGUCCGUGGAUUAUCUCUGAAAUGACAAGAAACACGCAGGGCUCCACGAGGGCCCUGCACACAGCAGCAUGGCUGUGGCCAUUCUUCCUGCUGCGCCGAGAUGAAGGUCAGUGCUGGGUCACCUGGGUUGAUCUGGAAGAGGUGGAAUCCCGGGCCUCUAGAAAGAUA
RNAcentral lists this long non-coding RNA (486 nucleotides) under Homo sapiens (human). RNAcentral's name for it is "non-protein coding lnc-SLC6A18-6:2". The record is from RNAcentral. Lineage: Eukaryota; Metazoa; Chordata; Mammalia; Primates; Hominidae.